AGUAACGCGUGAGGAACCUGCCUCAGANAGGGGGAUAACACACCGAAAGGGUGUGCUAAUAACCGCAUAACAUAUGAGAGGGGCANCCCUUUUAUAUCAAAGAUUUAUUGCUCUGAGAUGGCCUCGCGUCCAAUUAGCUAGUUGGUGAGGUAACGGCCCACCAAGGCGACGAUUGGUAGCCGGACUGAGAGGUUGAACGGCCACAUUGGGACUGAGACACGGCCCAGACUCCUACGGAAGGCAGCAG
Molecule: ribosomal RNA, 247 nt
Filed under: uncultured bacterium
Lineage: Bacteria
Description: partial 16S ribosomal RNA
Rfam family: Bacterial small subunit ribosomal RNA
Source: RNAcentral